ACAGCAGCCGCGGGAAUACGUAGGUCCCGAGCGUUGUCCGGAUUUAUUGGGCGUAAAGCGAGCGCAGGCGGUUAGAUAAGUCUGAAGUUAAAGGCUGUGGCUUAACCAUAGUACGCUUUGGAAACUGUUUAACUUGAGUGCAAGAGGGGAGAGUGGAAUUCCAUGUGUAGCGGUGAAAUGCGUAGAUAUAUGGAGGAACACCGGUGGCGAAAGCGGCUCUCUGGCUUGUAACUGACGCUGAGGCUCGAAAGCGUGGGGAGCAAACAGGAUUAGAUACCCGUGUAGUCCCUGUCUCUUAUACACAU
This 305-nucleotide ribosomal RNA is filed under the name uncultured bacterium. Its description in RNAcentral is "partial 16S ribosomal RNA". It matches the Rfam family "Bacterial small subunit ribosomal RNA", at positions 508 to 816 of the family's 1533-position model. The record is from RNAcentral.